UACAGAGGUCCCAAGCGUUGUUCGGAUUCAUUGGGCGUGAAGGGUGCGUAGGCGGCGCGGUAAGUCGGGUGUGAAAUCUCGGGGCUUAACUCCGAAACUGCAUUCGAUACUGCCGUGCUUGAGGACUGGAGAGGAGACUGGAAUUUACGGUGUAGCGGUGAAAUGCGUAGAUAUCGUAAGGAAGACCAGUGGCGAAGGCGAGUCUCUGGACAGUUCCUGACGCUGAGGCACGAAGGCCAGGGGAGCAAACGGG
Molecule: ribosomal RNA, 253 nt
Filed under: uncultured bacterium
Lineage: Bacteria
Description: partial 16S ribosomal RNA
Rfam family: Bacterial small subunit ribosomal RNA
Source: RNAcentral